RNAcentral lists this long non-coding RNA (366 nucleotides) under Equus caballus (horse). RNAcentral describes it as "lncRNA (ENSECAG00000046195.1)". Lineage: Eukaryota; Metazoa; Chordata; Mammalia; Perissodactyla; Equidae. The record is from RNAcentral.
GUGGGCAAGGAGAAACCUCAGCGGGGACAGAGGAGUAAAGGGACUGGCCUGGGAGAGGGAGCAGGCACUCAGAAAAGUGGGGAGACAAGGAACGACUCCGCAACAUCACAACUUCACCAAAGGUGCUCACUUCCGGGAAGGUCUCUGGGACUAAUUGUGACCUUAGGCAGGAAAGCGUCCAGGUGAUCCGGUCUAACGUGCUGGAACUCAGAACCAUUCAACCAUCUCUGCAGACCCCAGACCACAGUCCACAGGCUUCUGAGGCCAGCUCCCCACUCACUCUUCAGCAUCAGCUCCCCCGCUCCCCUGGGAACUUCCAAGACACCCAGGCCUUGAACGUGUCUGGUCCCCCGGGGCCUGGUGCCA